CCUACGGGAGGCAGCAGUGGGGAAUAUUGCACAAUGGGGGAAACCCUGAUGCAGCGACGCCGCGUGAAGGAUGAAGUAUUUCGGUAUGUAAACUUCUAUCAGCAAGGAAGAAAAUGACGGUACUUGACUAAGAAGCCCCGGCUAAAUACGUGCCAGCAGCCGCGGUAAU
Molecule: ribosomal RNA, 169 nt
Filed under: uncultured bacterium
Lineage: Bacteria
Description: partial 16S ribosomal RNA
Rfam family: Bacterial small subunit ribosomal RNA
Source: RNAcentral